GAUGAACGCUGACAGAAUGCUUAACACAUGCAAGUCGACUUGAAUUUGGGUUUUUAACUUAGGUAUGGGUGGCGGACGGGUGAGUAACGCGUAAAGAACUUGCCUCACAGCUAGGGACAACAUUUGGAAACGAAUGCUAAUACCUAAUAUUAUGAUAAUAGGGCAUCCUAUAAUUAUGAAAGCUAUAAGCGCUGUGAGAGAGCUUUGCGUCCCAUUAGCUAGUUGGAGAGGUAACGGCUCACCAAGGCGAUGAGGGGUAGCCGGCCUGAGAGGGUGACCGGCCACAAGGGGACUGAGACACGGCCCUUACUCCUACGGGAGGCAGCAGUGGGGAAUAUUGGACAAUGGACCGAGAGGCUGAUCCAGCAAUUCUGUGUGCACGAUGAAGUUUUUCGGAAUGUAAAGUGCUUUCAGUUGGGAAGAAACAAAUGACGGUACCAACAGAAGAAGUCAGGGCUAAAUACGU
Molecule: ribosomal RNA, 466 nt
Filed under: uncultured bacterium
Lineage: Bacteria
Description: partial 16S ribosomal RNA
Rfam family: Bacterial small subunit ribosomal RNA
Source: RNAcentral